Molecule: ribosomal RNA, 403 nt
Filed under: uncultured bacterium
Lineage: Bacteria
Description: bacterial SSU rRNA
Rfam family: Bacterial small subunit ribosomal RNA
Source: RNAcentral
CAAGGAAUUUUCCGCAAUGGGCGCAAGCCUGACGGAGCGACGCCGCGUGGAGGAUGACGCCCUUCGGGGUGUAAACUCCUUUUCGGGGGGACGAAGGCAGUGACGGUACCCCCGGAAGAAGCACCGGCUAACUACGUGCCAGCAGCCGCGGUAAGACGCAGGGUGCGAGCGUUGUCCGGAGUUACUGGGCGUAAAGGGCGCGUAGGCGGCUGCCCGCGUCGCACGUGAAAGCCCCCGGCUCAACCGGGGAGGGUCGUGCGAGACGGGGUGGCUAGAGGCAGGGAGAGGCUGGUGGAAUUCCCGGUGUAGCGGUGAAAUGCGUAGAGAUCGGGAGGAACACCGGUGGCGAAGGCGGCCAGCUGGCCCUGACCUGACGCUGAGGCGCGAAGGCGCGGGGAGCGAA